UGAAAACAACUAGGGAUACUUGAGA
Molecule: non-coding RNA, 25 nt
Filed under: Rattus norvegicus (Norway rat)
Lineage: Eukaryota; Metazoa; Chordata; Mammalia; Rodentia; Muridae
Source: RNAcentral